UACGUAGGGGGCUAGCGUUAUCCUGAAUUACUGGGCGUAAAGGGUGCGUAGGCGGUCUUUCAAGCCAGAAGUGAAAGGCUACGGCUCAACCGUAGUAAGCUUUUGGAACUGUAAGACUUGAGUGCAGGAGAGGAGAGUGGAAUUCCUAGUGUAGCGGUGAAAUGCGUAGAUAUUAGGAGGAACACCAGUUGCGAAGGCGGCUCUCUGGACUGUAACUGACGCUGAGGCUCGAAAGCGUGGGGAGCAAACAGGAUUAGAUACCCCCGUAGUCCCU
RNAcentral lists this ribosomal RNA (274 nucleotides) under uncultured prokaryote. RNAcentral's name for it is "partial 16S ribosomal RNA". It matches the Rfam family "Bacterial small subunit ribosomal RNA", at positions 524 to 798 of the family's 1533-position model. The record is from RNAcentral.